GAUGAACGCUGGCGGCGUGCCUAAUACAUGCAAGUCGAGCGAACAGACGAGGAGCUUGCUCCUCUGACGUUAGCGGCGGACGGGUGAGUAACACGUGGAUAACCUACCUAUAAGACUGGGAUAACUUCGGGAAACCGGAGCUAAUACCGGAUAACAUGUUGAACCGCAUGGUUCAACAGUGAAAGACGGUCUUGCUGUCACUUAUAGAUGGAUCCGCGCCGCAUUAGCUAGUUGGUAAGGUAACGGCUUACCAAGGCAACGAUGCGUAGCCGACCUGAGAGGGUGAUCGGCCACCCUGGAACUGAGACACGGUCCAGACUCCUACGGGAGGCAGCAGUAGGGAAUCUUCCGCAAUGGGCGAAAGCCUGACGGAGCAACGCCGCGUGAGUGAUGAAGGUCUUCGGAUCGUAAAACUCUGUUAUUAGGGAAGAACAAAUGUGUAAGUAACUAUGCACGUCUUGACGGUACCUAAUCAGAAAGCCACGGCUAACUACGUG
This 497-nucleotide ribosomal RNA is filed under the name uncultured bacterium. Its description in RNAcentral is "partial 16S ribosomal RNA". It matches the Rfam family "Bacterial small subunit ribosomal RNA", at positions 28 to 507 of the family's 1533-position model. The record is from RNAcentral.